RNAcentral lists this ribosomal RNA (1343 nucleotides) under uncultured bacterium. RNAcentral describes it as "16S ribosomal RNA". It matches the Rfam family "Bacterial small subunit ribosomal RNA", at positions 28 to 1378 of the family's 1533-position model. The record is from RNAcentral.
GACGAACGCUGGCGGCGUGCUUAACACAUGCAAGUCGAACGGAAAGGCCCUGCUUUUGUGGGGUGCUCGAGUGGCGAACGGGUGAGUAACACGUGAGUAACCUGCCCUUGACUUUGGGAUAACUUCAGGAAACUGGGGCUAAUACCGGAUAGGAGCUCCUGCUGCAUGGUGGGGGUUGGAAAGUUUCGGCGGUUGGGGAUGGACUCGCGGCUUAUCAGCUUGUUGGUGGGGUAGUGGCUUACCAAGGCUUUGACGGGUAGCCGGCCUGAGAGGGUGACCGGCCACAUUGGGACUGAGAUACGGCCCAGACUCCUACGGGAGGCAGCAGUGGGGAAUAUUGCACAAUGGGCGGAAGCCUGAUGCAGCAACGCCGCGUGCGGGAUGACGGCCUUCGGGUCGUAAACCGCUUUCGCCUGUGACGAAGCGUGAGUGACGGUAAUGGGUAAAGAAGCACCGGCUAACUACGUGCCAGCAGCCGCGGUGAUACGUAGGGUGCGAGCGUUGUCCGGAUUUAUUGGGCGUAAAGGGCUCGUAGGUGGUUGAUCGCGUCGGAAGUGUAAUCUUGGGGCUUAACCCUGAGCGUGCUUUCGAUACGGGUUGACUUGAGGAAGGUAGGGGAGAAUGGAAUUCCUGGUGGAGCGGUGGAAUGCGCAGAUAUCAGGAGGAACACCAGUGGCGAAGGCGGUUCUCUGGGCCUUUCCUGACGCUGAGGAGCGAAAGCGUGGGGAGCGAACAGGCUUAGAUACCUUGGUAGUCCACGCUGUAAACGGUGGGUACUAGGUGUGGGGUCCAUUCCACGGGUUCCGUGCCGUAGCUAACGCUUUAAGUACCCCGCCUGGGGAGUACGGCCGCAAGGCUAAAACUCAAAGGAAUUGACGGGGCCCCGCACAAGCGGCGGAGCAUGCGGAUUAAUUCGAUGCAACGCGUAGAACCUUACCUGGGUUUGACAUGGAUCGGGAGUGCUCAGAGAUGGGUGUGCCUCUUUUGGGGUCGGUUCACAGGUGGUGCAUGGCUGUCGUCAGCUCGUGUCGUGAGAUGUUGGGUUAAGUCCCGCAACGAGCGCAACCCUUGUUCACUGUUGCCAGCACGUUAUGGUGGGGACUCAGUGGAGACCGCCGGGGUCAACUCGGAGGAAGGUGGGGAUGACGUCAAGUCAUCAUGCCCCUUAUGUCCAGGGCUUCACGCAUGCUACAAUGGCUGGUACAGAGAGUGGCGAGCCUGUGAGGGUGAGCGAAUCUCGGAAAGCCGGUCUCAGUUCGGAUUGGGGUCUGCAACUCGACCUCAUGAAGUCGGAGUCGCUAGUAAUCGCAGAUCAGCAACGCUGCGGUGAAUACGUUCCCGGG